CUGCCGUCUACUCUUGGACAGCCUUCUGAAAGGAAGAUUAAUACAAGAUGGCAUCAUGAGUCCGCAUGUUCACAUGAUUAAAGGUAUUCCGGUAGACGAUGGGGAUGCGUUCCAUUAGAUAGUAGGCGGGGUAACGGCCCACCUAGUCUUCGAUGGAUAGGGGUUCUGAGAGGAAGGUCCCCCACAUUGGAACUGAGACACGGUCCAAACUCCUACGGGAGGCAGCAGUGAGGAAUAUUGGUCAAUGGGCGAGAGCCUGAACCAGCCAAGUAGCGUGAAGGAUGACUGCCCUAUGGGUUGUAAACUUCUUUUAUAAAGGAAUAAAGUCGGGUAUGCAUACCCGUUUGCAUGUACUUUAUGAAUAAGGAUCGGCUAACUCCGUGCCAGCAGCCGCGGUAAUACGGAGGAUCCGAGCGUUAUCCGGAUUUAUUGGGUUUAAAGGGAGCGUAGAUGGAUGUUUAAGUCAGUUGUGAAAGUUUGCGGCUCAACCGUAAAAUUGCAGUUGAUACUGGAUAUCUUGAGUGCAGUUGAGGCAGGCGGAAUUCGUGGUGUAGCGGUAAAAUGCUCUACAUAUCACGAAGAACUCCGAUUGCGAAGGCAGCCUGCUAAGCUGCAACUGACAUUGA
This 626-nucleotide ribosomal RNA is filed under the name uncultured Bacteroidales bacterium. RNAcentral describes it as "bacterial SSU rRNA". It matches the Rfam family "Bacterial small subunit ribosomal RNA", at positions 126 to 749 of the family's 1533-position model. Lineage: Bacteria; Pseudomonadati; Bacteroidota; Bacteroidia; Bacteroidales. The record is from RNAcentral.